ACAACUAUUUAAACAACUAUUUAAACAACUAGUAGUUUUAUUCAGUACGCGUAAUGGUAAUGGCUAGGCUCGCUUUAUUUUUACUUCUACUAGUUCAUGUGCACUCGCACAGUUUGCCAACAUCUCUUAGAUUUGGGUAUGACACCGGUAGUUAUAUGAUGCUGCAACUGGACAUGGAACCGGUAAAGGAAGCCAUUUCGGUCUGUUCGUGGAUCAACAAGAAAACAGCUGAUGGUACUCAUGAUGCCUGGUUCACGUACAAUGCACCUUCCAAGAUGAAUGAGAUCUUAAUUGCAGGCAGGAUAAGGGGCUGGGCUUUCAUGAACAAGGACCAUAUAGAGAACGGCCAGGCCUUUCCUUCAAAUGAAUGGCACCACCUCUGCAUAACAUGGGGUUAUGACUUAUGAGACUAAGACCAGGGUAUUAUAUUUUGAUGGGCAGGUAAUAGCACAGGAAGCAUCUGGUGACGUAAAACUGACCAUGGGAGGAACAAUAGCUAUAGGACAGAACCACCAGAAGGCGACAAUGGAAGCUAUAUUCCACAAGGGAUAUUCUUUCGGAGGUGAACUCCUAAAGCUGAACGUCUACAAAAGGCAACUGGAAGCUGGGGAAGUAAGCCAAAUGUUCUCAUCGGGAAUGUGCUCAGACUUCGAGGAUUCUCUUGUGGGAGAGGCUUUCUUGCGGUGGGAGACCAUCCUCUACGCUACUGAGAGGCACGGAACGAUCACUGAAGAGCGGAUUACAUGCCCUGGUGAUCCCUGGGACGUACUCUACCCGUCCGAGUUUUUCAAUAAUGUUGUGUCAAGUGAGAUACUAGAUAAACUACGAGACCAAUGGGAGGUUCUGGGAGAAUUCGUCGGUCACCGGAUCGACGAGGUCCUAGUGAAGCAUUUAAAGAAGCACCACUAGAUCAUAUCCUUGCUGAGAAGGAUCCUUGCUGAGAAGGAUCCUUGCUGAGAAGGAUCAUUGCUGAGAAGGAUCCUUGCUGAGAAGAAUCCUUGCUGAGAAGGAUCCUUGGUUGAUUGGAUCGGAGUAGGGAGGUGAAAUAAGAUGAACAUUGAACUGAUUAUUUUGUCCUGAAAAUGCUUUUUUGUGGCUUAAUUUAAUAAUUUUGAUUUACCAGUGCUUUAUCGGGGAAUAUUUCCCAAAAUAAAUUGAGCACUUGAUUUUUUAACUGAAACAUAUCUCGACUGGUUUUAUGUUUAUUUUGAAUCGAAUUCGUCAAUUAAAAGUAACAA
Molecule: long non-coding RNA, 1238 nt
Organism: Bolinopsis microptera
Lineage: Eukaryota; Metazoa; Ctenophora; Tentaculata; Lobata; Bolinopsidae
Exons: 2
Source: RefSeq, a predicted model, not a curated record